UAAGACCUUGCGCCGAUGGAUGAGCCGAAGUCGGAUUAGCUAGUUGGUAGGGUAACGGCCUACCAAGGCGACGAUCCGUAGCUGGUCUGAGAGGACGACCAGCCACACUGGGACUGAGACACGGCCCAGACUCCUACGGGAGGCAGCAGUGGGGAAUAUUGGACAAUGGGGGAAACCCUGAUCCAGCGACGCCGCGUGUGUGAAGAAGGCCUGCGGGUUGUAAAGCACUUUUAGUGGGGACAAAAAGCCAUUGAUUAAUACUUGGUGGUCUUGAUUUAACCCAAAGAAAAAGCACCGGCUAACUCUGUGCCAGCAGCCGCGGUAAUACAGAGGGUGCGAGCGUUAAUCGGAAUUACUGGGCGUAAAGCGCGCGUAGACGGUUUUGUAAGUCAGAUGUGAAAUCCCCGGGCUCAACCUGGGAACU
Molecule: ribosomal RNA, 424 nt
Filed under: uncultured bacterium
Lineage: Bacteria
Description: bacterial SSU rRNA
Rfam family: Bacterial small subunit ribosomal RNA
Source: RNAcentral